UGACUUUGGGUCAGAGAAGACGAGAUUCGUUCACGUCUUCGUGACUUUGAGCUUCAGAUUUGAUGGGGGAUGUUUCUUAGUUUUCUUAUGGGUUUAAUAUUCACAGGCUUUUGUUUAUUGUGAAUCAAGUGUUGAUCUGAGUUUUUCUGGUUUCUUUGUUCAUGUUCCCGCAGGCUUGGAUCUGAUGGAAGCUUGGCUGAGGUGGAAAGCAAAGACAGAUUAUGUUGCUCGGGAAGAGGUUAUAUCCCAAUAAUAUUUUGCGUCAAUGGGUGGGGCAGGUGUAGAUUCCAAGUUUCACAGAAGACCCAAGAAGUUAGAGUGAGUUACAUUUGCUGCUGAGGGUGUUUUGCUAUAGACUUCUCAUAGCAAAAUAAGUGUGAGAAAAAGUUGGAUAUGAGGAUUGACCACAGUUAGCCAAUGAACUAAAUUCCUUAACAGAAGGGGUUUGUUUUCUCAAAAGAGAAAAGGUGUUCUGAAAUGGUUUUAAUGUAUAUAUUCCAUCCCAAUCAUCUCUCAAGUCUCAAACUGAGUCAGCCAGCAGGCUUUUGAGAUAUGCUGCCAUAGAUAUAUUGUUCUCAAGAGUUGGUAUGCCACGUAGGCAGACAAAAAGGAAGAAAAAAGCAUAUAAUGAUGCCUUCUUUGCCUUCACCUGCACGCCGGGUGUUUGUUCCAUUCUGAUCAAUCACUCAUUCAUGUUUGCUUCUUAGUGACCUUAUGCGCUCACAUGGAUGACAGCCUUUGCCAUUUUGGUCAGACACAGAGCUGUGUGACUACUGACUACUACCACCACCACCACCCAUGGCAGCCCAAUACAGUUCCUUCUCAUCUCUCAUCCAUUAAAAGUAUUGGAGUUGGAGACCAAUGUAAUCAGUCAUGGGAUAAGAAAGAGAAGGGGUUUUUCAUUUGGGUCAAACACUUCCAAUGUUAGGAGAACAAAAUUAUAGUGUUUAGGCCCCACUUAAGAUCAAUGUCCUAUAGAUAUUUGUCAUUACAGAGUCCUGAACAUUUGUCAGUGUAUGUCAAAAAUGUUGAUUUGUUUUGUACCUCAUUUAAUGAGGUAAUCCAAGAGUCUCAUAGGGAAUUAUAUCAAACACUUACAAAUGUGGAAGAGAAAAACAAAGAAUAAUAAUAAUAAUAAUUGUUAAAUGCA
Long non-coding RNA from Humulus lupulus (European hop), 1150 nucleotides. RefSeq lists it as uncharacterized. The record is from RefSeq and is a predicted model, not a curated record. The transcript has 3 exons. NCBI's taxonomy places the organism in Eukaryota, Viridiplantae, Streptophyta, Magnoliopsida, Rosales, Cannabaceae.